This is a long non-coding RNA of Dermochelys coriacea (leatherback sea turtle), 268 nucleotides long. RefSeq lists it as uncharacterized. Lineage: Eukaryota; Metazoa; Chordata; Testudines; Dermochelyidae. The transcript has 3 exons. The record is from RefSeq and is a predicted model, not a curated record.
CGGUAUAAGAAUGUUCGUGUACCAUUUGUGUAUGGCUCUGGUAUCCAAUACACUUUAGAUAUAUGUUUGUGCAACAACAGCCCUUUCCUUGCCAGCUUCUGUGAGCAGGGCCUGCCUCUGGCUCGCAGCUUAACUUUGCUUUAUGUUAGCAAAGUCUUGACCAUUAUUUUAGCUCAGGCCUUAGGUCUCAUACCGGGCCUCUGAUACCAAGGGUUUAUGUUUCAGGGCCUCAUCUUACUACAGAUGGCUCUCAGUCAGGGCAUGUGAA